AAGACGUUAGUAAAAAUUACAAGACUUUGUCAUGGUCUAAUUGCUAGCUAACACAUCUUA
This 60-nucleotide transfer RNA is filed under the name Pseudoeurycea aurantia. RNAcentral's name for it is "tRNA-Asp". The record is from RNAcentral. Lineage: Eukaryota; Metazoa; Chordata; Amphibia; Caudata; Plethodontidae.